RNAcentral lists this transfer RNA (74 nucleotides) under Auritidibacter ignavus. RNAcentral describes it as "tRNA-Met". It matches the Rfam family "tRNA". Rfam says of the family: Transfer RNA (tRNA) molecules are approximately 80 nucleotides in length. Their secondary structure includes four short double-helical elements and three loops (D, anti-codon, and T loops). RNAcentral also lists the same sequence under 1 other name. Lineage: Bacteria; Bacillati; Actinomycetota; Actinomycetes; Micrococcales; Micrococcaceae. The record is from RNAcentral.
GGCUGCGUAGCUCAGUUGGUGAGAGCGCACGACUCAUAAUCGUGAGGUCGACAGUUCGAGUCUGUCCGCAGCUA